GUGCUGCUACCUUUCAUGGCACAUGUGUGAAAAGUGGAAUGAUACAAAGAAAACUACCAUAGUCCUUGCUCAAGUAUGACACACAAACUUAGAAUUCCAUGAGUCCU
This is a small nuclear RNA of Dipodomys ordii (Ord's kangaroo rat), 107 nucleotides long. NCBI's taxonomy places the organism in Eukaryota, Metazoa, Chordata, Mammalia, Rodentia, Heteromyidae. The record is from Ensembl.